AGUGAACGCUGGCGGUACGCCUAACACAUGCAAGUCGAACGGCAGCACAGUAAGAGCUUGCUCUUACGGGUGGCGAGUGGCGGACGGGUGAGGAAUACAUCGGAAUCUACUUUUUCGUGGGGGAUAACGUAGGGAAACUUACGCUAAUACCGCAUACGACCUACGGGUGAAAGCAGGGGAUCUUCGGACCUUGCGCGAUUGAAUGAGCCGAUGUCGGAUUAGCUAGUUGGCGGGGUAAAGGCCCACCAAGGCGACGAUCCGUAGCUGGUCUGAGAGGAUGAUCAGCCACACUGGAACUGAGACACGGUCCAGACUCCUACGGGAGGCAGCAGUGGGGAAUAUUGGACAAUGGGCGCAAGCCUGAUCCAGCCAUACCGCGUGGGUGAAGAAGGCCUUCGGGUUGUAAAGCCCUUUUGUUGGGAAAGAAAAGCAGCAGGUUAAUACCCCGCUGUUCUGACGGUACCCAAAGAAUAGGCACCGGCUAACUUCGUG
RNAcentral lists this ribosomal RNA (492 nucleotides) under uncultured bacterium. Its description in RNAcentral is "partial 16S ribosomal RNA". It matches the Rfam family "Bacterial small subunit ribosomal RNA", at positions 29 to 507 of the family's 1533-position model. The record is from RNAcentral.